Molecule: ribosomal RNA, 93 nt
Filed under: uncultured bacterium
Lineage: Bacteria
Description: partial 16S ribosomal RNA
Rfam family: Bacterial small subunit ribosomal RNA
Source: RNAcentral
CCGCCCGUCACACCAUGGAAGUGUAUUGCACCAGAAGCAGGUAGCCUGACCGCAAGGAGGGCGCCUACCGCGGUGUGGUCCAUGACUGGGGUG